Drosophila subobscura is the source of this 761-nucleotide RNA transcript. It is a transcript of the gene named keratin-associated protein 5-3, with no coding region annotated. The transcript has 5 exons. Lineage: Eukaryota; Metazoa; Arthropoda; Insecta; Diptera; Drosophilidae. The record is from RefSeq and is a predicted model, not a curated record.
CCCAAUAUUUCUCAUUCGAUUUCUAACUCUCGAACCAAACGUUUCGGCCGGCUUCAAAAUUUUUUGUAACAAAAUUCUAAAUUAAAUUUUUUUCGGAAAAAACCAACAAAAAUUCGCUCUAAAGAUAAUCAUGUGCGAACCGUGUGGACCAUUCGCGCCUCGUGGCUGCCGCAGCCGUGAACUGCGUUGCGGUAUCAUGUACACCACCUGCGAUUGUGUGAAGCGCAAUGGGCUCCAGGAUAAGUGUCCGCGAUCGGCAUGCCAAGGACGGCCGGCGUGCCUGUGCUUCCCGUACCCGGGCUGCGGACCAUCGGCCUUCCCCCUGCGCUACGCAAACAUGACAAUGGGCGUGAACAAUAAGCGGAUGCGUUGUCAGGCAACUGGAGCUGCCGGUGGCGGUGGAGGCGGUGCUUGCGGUGGUCGCGCUGCCGGCGGAUGCUGUGGAGGUCCAUGUGAUCCAUGUGGAGGCGGUCCAUGCUGUGGUCCAUCUCCCUGCUGUGCCCGCUAUCUCGUGAGAAAGGACAACAUUCCUUGUGUGUGGUGUGCGCCCUGUAAGGCUCACUGCUACAACACGCCACCGAAAUGCUGCUGCUAGGUGUGACCAGCAUCCUCCAUUCGGUCCGCUCUUGAUCCAAGCCCCUCCGUUAAGUCCCGUCGCGCGUGGCUUCUAGGAUCGGAGUGCCUGGGAGGGAGCACGAGCCACACACCCUUCGGUAAAAAACCCCGUCCCAGGUCUUAAGCCAUUCCAAGCUUUGAUCAAA